CUUGACCGAGCCGAGCCACAGCGGGUGACCCUCGGGACGAUCCUGACCGUACGUGGCGAUGACCGCCUGCGCCUC
This 75-nucleotide antisense RNA is filed under the name Actinoplanes sp. N902-109. Its description in RNAcentral is "ASpks TB sRNA". It matches the Rfam family "ASpks TB sRNA". Lineage: Bacteria; Bacillati; Actinomycetota; Actinomycetes; Micromonosporales; Micromonosporaceae. The record is from Rfam by way of RNAcentral.